GCCGAAGUCCUGGUGAUUAAACCGUCCCUGGCGUUAAGCUCACGUUUGCUUGCUUUACCUUGCUAUAUCGGUGCGCCCUGAGGGUCUGUUUACAGUUUCUUUUCUUGAAGGCAGAAAUUUCUGGUGUUCAGAGGAUGCUUUGAUCACCCUCGUGCAGACUCUGGUACUUGUUCCAGCGGAGGGCAGGUACCUCUAAGUAAAGUUGGAAGGGGGUGGGGAGGAAAUGGAAAAAGGAAGACAAGUUGGAAGGGAGAGAAUGACGCCAGCAGGCCUUGGGGCCCAGAGUGACACAGUAAAAUGUCCUUGGAUUCUUACCAGGAUCCAACAUUUGAAUGGAAGGCCUGUGGGCGAUGUUUGUAUUCAGUAAAAAGGCACAAAGUUAUUUCUAAGAGAAGCACAAACUGGACAAGAUGGAACUCAGAUCCAAGCUCACGUUUCCUCUGGAACAGAAAUAGCUGCCCACUGCCUGUGUCUUUAGAGGUGAAUUCGCUCCAGCAGGAACUAGAUUUGCCUGACCUUGCAUCCUGA
Molecule: long non-coding RNA, 528 nt
Filed under: Chinchilla lanigera (long-tailed chinchilla)
Lineage: Eukaryota; Metazoa; Chordata; Mammalia; Rodentia; Chinchillidae
Description: lncRNA (ENSCLAG00000025855.1)
Source: RNAcentral